GACGAACGCUGGCGGCGUGCCUAAUACAUGCAAGUAGAACGCUGAAGGAGGAGCUUGCUUCUCUGGAUGAGUUGCGAACGGGUGAGUAACGCGUAGGUAACCUGCCUGGUAGCGGGGGAUAACUAUUGGAAACGAUAGCUAAUACCGCAUAAGAGUAGAUGUCGCAUGACAUUUGCUUAAAAGGUGCAAUUGCAUCACUACCAGAUGGACCUGCGUUGUAUUAGCUAGUUGGUGAGGUAACGGCUCACCAAGGCAACGAUACAUAGCCGACCUGAGAGGGUGAUCGGCCACACUGGGACUGAGACACGGCCCAGACGCCUACGGGAGGCAGCAGUAGGGAAUCUUCGGCAAUGGACGGAAGUCUGACCGAGCAACGCCGCGUGAGUGAAGAAGGGUUUCGGAUCGGAAAGCUCGGUUGUAAGAGAAGAACGAGUGUGAGAGUGGAAAGUUCACACUGUGACGGUAGCUUACCAGAAAGGGACGGCUAACUACGUG
RNAcentral lists this ribosomal RNA (495 nucleotides) under uncultured bacterium. RNAcentral describes it as "partial 16S ribosomal RNA". It matches the Rfam family "Bacterial small subunit ribosomal RNA", at positions 28 to 507 of the family's 1533-position model. The record is from RNAcentral.